Molecule: ribosomal RNA, 837 nt
Filed under: bacterium
Lineage: Bacteria
Description: bacterial SSU rRNA
Rfam family: Bacterial small subunit ribosomal RNA
Source: RNAcentral
GAGUGGGCAGCAAUGCGACGAGCACACCGGUGAGGAUGCAUCCAGGAUCUGCCCAGCCGACGGGUGAGGAAUGCAUCGGAAUCUGCCCCGACGUGGGGGAUAACGUAGGGAAACUUACGCUAAUACCGCAUACGUCCUACGGGGGAAAGCGGGGGAUCUUCGGACCUCGCGCGGCGGGAUGAGCCGAUGCCGGAUUAGCUAGUUGGUGGGGUAAAGGCCCACCAAGGCGACGAUCCGUAGCUGGUCUGAGAGGAUGAUCAGCCACACUGGGACUGAGACACGGCCCAGACUCCUACGGGAGGCAGCAGUGGGGAAUAUUGGACAAUGGGGGCAACCCUGAUCCAGCAAUGCCGCGUGUGUGAAGAAGGCCUUCGGGUUGUAAAGCACUUUUAUCGGGGACGAAAUCCGGAAAAUCCGGAAGGUUAAUACCCGUCCGGGAUGACGGUACCCCCCGAAGAAGCACCGGCUAAAUUUUUGCCAGCAGCCGCGGUAAUAAUAAGGGGGCAAGCGUUGUUUGGAAUUUUUGGGGGUAAAGGGUGCGUAGGCGGUUUGUUAAGUUAGAUGUGAAAACCCCGGGCUCAACAACGGAAGGGCCCCGGAGACUGCCGGACUGGAGUGCGGUAGAGGGGGGUCGAAAACUCGGUGGAGCGGUGAAAUGAGUAGAGAUCGGGAGGAACACCAGUGGGGAAGGCGGCCUUCUGGACCAGCAUUGACGCUGAGGCAUGAAAGCGUGGGGGGCAAACGGGAUUAGAUACCCUGGUAGUCCACGCCCUAAACGAUGAGAACAGGAGUGUUUCAACAAGCCCUCAGUGUCGAAGCUAACGCGUAAGUAUCCGC